ACCCCCUGGCAGUGGGCAAAGCGACACUUUGUUGGUGGUGGUGUCCUUAUUUCAAUCAGGGGCAGAGAGGAUGGCAGUCCCCUGUUCAUCCUAGCUUGAUGUCUGGCUUGGUGGCUAAAGCUGUUUUAUACCUAGGACUCAAAA
Molecule: small nucleolar RNA, 144 nt
Organism: Rattus norvegicus (Norway rat)
Lineage: Eukaryota; Metazoa; Chordata; Mammalia; Rodentia; Muridae
Product: small nucleolar RNA SNORA48
Source: Ensembl